Long non-coding RNA from Ctenopharyngodon idella (grass carp), 1189 nucleotides. RefSeq lists it as uncharacterized. Lineage: Eukaryota; Metazoa; Chordata; Actinopteri; Cypriniformes; Xenocyprididae. The transcript has 2 exons. The record is from RefSeq and is a predicted model, not a curated record.
UCAUUGGUCAGGUCCACCCUAAGAGGUGUGACUUCUCCCAGAGUUUAAAAAGAGACACACAGCUUCACCUAGCCCUCUGGCUUCUUUUGACUGACUCAAGACGACCUCUGCUGGGUGGCCUCUCAGGCCAAGGCCUGUAGGCCUAAACCUGCACUUCAGCAUGUGCUUAUCUAGGAAAAAGAGAGAGGACUCUUUCCCCAUUAAGAGUCAAACUAACCACGCAAGUUUGUCAUCGUUUCUUCAUUCUAUGCAGAAGACAUCGAUUGCAACUUCAGCACCAUCGGACCGAACUCUCAGGACUUUCUACUGCAACAGUAUAUUCAGACGCUCUUCAAACAGCUGAGGCAUAAUGCAAGUAUUCUUCUGAGUCUCAACCUGAGAAAAGGAUCGUGCUUCUGGGGAAAACCGGAGAUGGCAAGAGCAGCGCCGGGAAUACCAUUCUAAAUCAGCUUCUUCAAGAGCAAAGCUUCACCUGAGUCUGUGACGGCUGAAUGUGUCAGUGGAGAUCGGAAGAUCGAUGGCAAAAAGAUAAAUUAUUGACACGCCUGGACUCUUUGACACCGGUCUGGAUGAGGGCGAUUCGGUGUGUAACACCGUAAAGAACACAGCCAAACUCAACUAUGAGAAUGAAAAAGGCACAGAAACAUCAACACAAACUGUUAAUCAGUACUAUUGUUCUCCUUUUUAAGGAACAGCAGAUUUUUAGCGAUUAUAUUAUGAUGUGCUUUAUCCUUAUUGUCUAAAUAAUGCAUGGGGAUUUACUUUUAAUUCUCACUAUAUGUAGGCUACUGUCACAUCCACCAGCUGUGAGUGCCUUUGCACGCCAGUAGAGGGCACUGUUUCCAUUGACACUACACACAUGGACUCAGUUUCCCACAAUGCUUUGUAUGUCAUCUGUGUAAUUAUGUGCAGCUGUUUCCCAUUACCUCGUUACCCCUUUGUCUCUCUCCCUAUGUAACCCUGUUCUAUUGUUUGUCUCUUUGCAAAGUAUUGUCUUGUGGUUCACAGCUUUACUGAGCUUUUUCCUUGUUUCUAUGUUCCUGGUCUUUGAUAUCUGCCCGUAUUCUGGUUUUCCCGUUCCUGUUUUGCCCUCUGGUCUUGUUUGUUUGGACUGAUUUACAGUGCUCUGACCUUCUGCCUGUUUAAUGGACUACGACUUUGGAUUGUGUUAAUAAACUGCACUUGGAUC